This 259-nucleotide ribosomal RNA is filed under the name uncultured bacterium. RNAcentral describes it as "partial 16S ribosomal RNA". It matches the Rfam family "Bacterial small subunit ribosomal RNA", at positions 305 to 555 of the family's 1533-position model. The record is from RNAcentral.
CCGCCACACUGGGACUGAGACACGGCCCAGACUCCUACGGGAGGCAGCAGUGGGGAAUAUUGGACAAUGGGCGGAAGCCUGAUCCAGCCAUGCCGCGUGUGUGAAGAAGGCCUUUUGGUUGUAAAGCACUUUAAGCGAGGAGGAGGCUACUAGUACUAAUACUACUGGAUAGUGGACGUUACUCGCAGAAUAAGCACCGGCUAACUCUGUGCCAGCAGCCGCGGUAAUACAGAGGGUGCGAGCGUUAAUCGGAUUUACU